RNAcentral lists this non-coding RNA (98 nucleotides) under Cyclophora tenuis. Lineage: Eukaryota; Bacillariophyta; Fragilariophyceae; Cyclophorales; Cyclophoraceae. The record is from RNAcentral.
GAUGGGAUACGUCGCAGGCAUCCAAGGUGUGCCCGGAGUUUAUACAUGGAUCGGUGGCUUCAUUCUACUCAUUGGAUUGUACAUUAUAAUUGAUGCCG